This 411-nucleotide ribosomal RNA is filed under the name Triticum aestivum (bread wheat). RNAcentral describes it as "partial small subunit ribosomal RNA". The record is from RNAcentral. Lineage: Eukaryota; Viridiplantae; Streptophyta; Magnoliopsida; Poales; Poaceae.
AUGUCGCGGGUUGCAAUUAAGCAUGGCCGGCGAUGCGACGGGUCGGCGGCGCUGCGUUGGAGCACCUCGUGCCGGUAUCGCGGAUGCAGUGAAGCAUGGCCGGAGCUGCGUUGGAGCACUUUGUGUCAGUGUCGCGGCUGCAAUGAAGAAUGGCCGGAGCUGCGCCGGGUCGCCGGCGCUGCGUUGGAGCACCCGCAUGCCGGUGUCGCGGCUGCAAUGGAGCAUGGACGGAGCUACGGAGGGACCUCGGCGCUGCGUUGUAGCACCGCCGCGCCGGUGUUGGCGGCUGCAAUGAAGCAUGGCCGGAGCUGCGCCGGGUCGCCGGCGCUGCGUUGGAGCACCGCAUGUCGGUGUCGCGGCUGCAAUGAAGCAUGGACGGACCUACGGAGGGACGUCGGUGCUGCGUUGUAG